This 254-nucleotide long non-coding RNA is filed under the name Elaeis guineensis (African oil palm). RNAcentral's name for it is "long non-coding RNA (EGUI_LNC031211)". The record is from RNAcentral. Lineage: Eukaryota; Viridiplantae; Streptophyta; Magnoliopsida; Arecales; Arecaceae.
ACAACCUGAGAAUCUGUUUGCCAUCAAACUCCACCUCUAAGUAUGAAACCAAGAUCUUUGAUAUCUUGAUUUGAAAUAUCUUCCUUUAUAGUUAUUUUAAAUGUGACACUGCAGUCAGAAAAUGUUUUGUGAGCCCUUUUGCCGUAUUGUAUGUACCACUGUAGUGUUUAUGAUAGCAUAGAGAAUAAUUUCUAGUAGAACAAAGUCAAGAGUUUGGAUUGGAUGGGUCACCUACAUAUAUUUUACUAGGAAAA